Molecule: ribosomal RNA, 737 nt
Filed under: Escherichia coli
Lineage: Bacteria; Pseudomonadati; Pseudomonadota; Gammaproteobacteria; Enterobacterales; Enterobacteriaceae
Description: bacterial SSU rRNA
Rfam family: Bacterial small subunit ribosomal RNA
Source: RNAcentral
AAAUUGAAGAGUUUGAUCAUGGCUCAGAUUGAACGCUGGCGGCAGGCCUAACACAUGCAAGUCGAACGGUAACAGGAAGCAGCUUGCUGCUUUGCUGACGAGUGGCGGACGGGUGAGUAAUGUCUGGGAAACUGCCUGAUGGAGGGGGAUAACUACUGGAAACGGUAGCUAAUACCGCAUAACGUCGCAAGACCAAAGAGGGGGACCUUCGGGCCUCUUGCCAUCGGAUGUGCCCAGAUGGGAUUAGCUAGUAGGUGGGGUAACGGCUCACCUAGGCGACGAUCCCUAGCUGGUCUGAGAGGAUGACCAGCCACACUGGAACUGAGACACGGUCCAGACUCCUACGGGAGGCAGCAGUGGGGAAUAUUGCACAAUGGGCGCAAGCCUGAUGCAGCCAUGCCGCGUGUAUGAAGAAGGCCUUCGGGUUGUAAAGUACUUUCAGCGGGGAGGAAGGGAGUAAAGUUAAUACCUUUGCUCAUUGACGUUACCCGCAGAAGAAGCACCGGCUAACUCCGUGCCAGCAGCCGCGGUAAUACGGAGGGUGCAAGCGUUAAUCGGAAUUACUGGGCGUAAAGCGCACGCAGGCGGUUUGUUAAGUCAGAUGUGAAAUCCCCGGGCUCAACCUGGGAACUGCAUCUGAUACUGGCAAGCUUGAGUCUCGUAGAGGGGGGUAGAAUUCCAGGUGUAGCGGUGAAAUGCGUAGAGAUCUGGAGGAAUACCGGUGGCGAAGGCGGCCC